Small nuclear RNA from Cynocephalus volans (Philippine flying lemur), 107 nucleotides. The record is from RefSeq and is a predicted model, not a curated record. NCBI's taxonomy places the organism in Eukaryota, Metazoa, Chordata, Mammalia, Dermoptera, Cynocephalidae.
GUGCUCACUUCAGCAGCACAUAUACUAAAAUUGGAAUGAUAUAGAGAAUAUUAGCAUGGCCUCAGUGCAAGGAUGGCAUGCAAAUUCGUGAAGUGUUCCAAGAGAAC